UGACAAAUUUUAAUUAUUUGAUUACUUGGAUAUUAUUGUUUUUAUUCACUAGACAGUGAGCUCCUUGAGGACAGUUACCACAUUUGUUUUGUUUGACAUGAUAUAUCCUGGCAUAGUCCAGGGCACACAGUAAGUACUUAGUAAAAAAGUGUUGAGCAAAAAGUAAACUGGUAAAUGUUUAUAUGCUAGACUUUUUGGGUACCUCUAAUCCCUAAUAGACUAGGAACUUUUCAUAUACAAGACCAUGUCUUAAAGACAUUUCUAUACCUCACUCUGAGGACAGUGCUUGACCCACAAGAAAUGCUCAGUAAAAGCUUGGCAAUUUUCAGCUAAACUGAGUACAAAUCAUCAAACAUUUGUGCGAAAUUACUGCUUGGCACUGAUGUGUUCUGCCUCGUCUAGAGGAAUUCUGCCAUCACGUACAAGGCCAAAAUAGUUCUUUGGCUUGUAAUAACUAGUAUGUACCUUAUUCAUUCAUUCAUCAAAUAUUCACUGAAAACCUACUCUGUGCUAGGCACUGUUCUAAAUGAGAAUCAAUCUUUUGAACUCUGGGGAUAUAACAAUGAAGAAAACAGGGAAAAAAAAAAAAAACAAAAACCUGUCCUUAUGAGGCUUAUAAAGAAAAACAGCCAGUAAUUUAGUAAAAAUAUCACCUCAAAGAUUCUGCUUUAAUUGCUGAGACGCGAGCACUGGCGUAGAGUAUUUAAAAAUCUGCCUAGGUGAUUGCAACACACAGCAGGGACUGAGAGCCGUUGCUUUAGAAAGACACACUGCUUACUUUCUUGUUUAUUUUUUAAACGAUGCACCUCUGCUGUAGUUUUUUCUAUCAGAGUGUACACAAGGUAGCUUUUCGAUGUGUCACUAUUUGCUUUUAGUUUACAAGAUUUUAGGGUAAAAUGGUUACGCAAUAUAAAAUGCUAUGUUAUAUGCUUUAUUCUGCUUAGCUAGACACAGAAACCAUUUCAGAAAAAUGGGCCAAUUUGAAUUAUCUUCUAUUUAGAAUGUAAAUUUGAAUCCUGAGGGCACAAAGACUUUUAACAAGGAACAGAAAGUAUCUUUGUAGUUUCCCUUUCCCAAGCAAACACUGUGUUGUAAGAUUGGAAAGUUUCUUGUUCCUUUAUAUGUUUUGUAUUCUCAUUGCUUUCUAUAUUUAGUAUUUAUGUUUGAUUGCACAGAGAACUGUAUACAGUGAUGAUUUUCACAGAGAAUAAUUAUAUGCAAUAGGACCAUAUUCUCUAAUGAUGUUGAGGAAUUUAAAUUUUGUGUAUGAAUAUAGUAGUCUAUAGAUACUUUCUGACACCAUUUUUUUUUUUAAUUAAGGUAAAACGUACAUACAGCUUGAUGAGUUUCAGUGGGUGAAUGCAGCCAUCUAAGCACCAAUUCGAACAUAACAUAGAUUUCCAUCACCCCAGGAAGUUAUCUUGUGAGCCUUUCAGUCAAUGGACACUCCCCAUAUGCAACUGCUAUUCUAGUUGUAUCACCAUAGGACAGAAUAGAACUGCUUCAUAGGGUUUCCAAGGCUGUAGUCUUUAUGGGUUACAUCAAGAACCUGUGGUAUUGAAGGAAGAAGUCUAAGCAGCACUGAAGGCUUUGGUGAAAAACAAGGCUCCAGGACUUGAACACCAGUUAAGAUGUUUUAACAAACAGUUGCAGUUCUGGAGGUGCUCACUGGUCUAUGCCAAGAGAUUUGGAAGACAGCUACUUGGCCAACAGACUGGAAGAGAUCCAUAUUUGUGCCGAUUCCAAAGAAAGUGAUCCAACGGAAUGAGGAAAUUAUCGAACAAUAUCAUUGAUACCACACACAAGUAAAAUUUUGCUGAAGAUCAUUCAAAAGUGGUUGUAGCAGUAUAUUGACAGGGAGCUGCCAGAAGUUCAAGCCACAUUCAGAAGAGGAUGGGGAAUGAGGGAUAUCAUUGCUGAUGUCAGAUGGAUCUCGGCUGAAAGCAGAGAAUACCAGAAAGACGUUUACCUGUGUUUUAUUGACUAUGCAAGGGCAUUUGACUGUGUGGAUCACAACAAAUUACGGAUAACAUUGUGAAGAAUGAGAAUUCCAGAGCACCUAAUUGUGCUCAUGAGGAACCUGUACAUAGACCAAGAGGCAGUCAUUUGAGCAGAGCAAGGGGAUACUGCGUGGUUUAAAAUCAGGAAUCGUGUAUCCUUUCACCAUACGUUUUCCAUCUGUAUGCUGAGCAAAUAAUCAGGGAAGCUGGACGAUGUGAAGCAGAAUGCAGCAUUAGGAUUGCAGGAAGACUGAUUAACAACCUGUGAUAUGCAGAUAACACAACCUUGCUUGCUGAAAGUGAAGAGGACUUGAAGCACUUACUGAUGAAGAUCAAAGACUACAGCCUUCAGUAUGGAUUACACCUCAACAUAAAGAAAACAAAAAUCCUCACAACUGCAUCAGUGAGCAACAUCAUCAUAAACAGUGAAAAGUCUGAAGUUGUCAGGGAUUCCAUUUUCCUUGGAUCCACAAUCAACACCCAAGGAAGCAACAGUAAGGAAAUCAAACAAUGUAUUGCAUUGGGCAAAUCUGCUGCGAAAUACCUCUUUAAAGUGUUAAAAAGUGAAGAUGUCACUUUGAGAAUUAAGGUGCACCUGAUACAAGCCAUAAUGUUUUUAAUUGCCCCAUAUGCAUGCAAAAGCUGGACAAUGAAUAACGAAGACUGGAAAACUCAUGCCUUUGAGUUACGGUGUUGAUGAAGGAUAUUGAAUAUAUGGACUGCCAGAAAAACAAACAAAUCUGUCUUGGAAGAAAUACAGCUAGAGUGCUCCUUGGAAGCGAGGCUGGUGAGACUUCGUCUCAUAUUACUUUGAACAUGUUUAUCAGGAGAGACUAGUCCCUGGAGAAGGACAUCACGCUUGGUAAAGUAGAAACCAAAAACAAAAAACUCGCUGCGUCCAGUCGAUUCCGACUCAUGGCGACCCUAUAGGACAGAGUGGAACUGCCCCAUGGGGUUUCCAAGGAGCACUUGGUAGAUUCAAACUGCCUACCUUUUGGUUGGCAGCUGUAGAUCUUAGAGGGUCAGUGAAAAGAGAAAGGCAUUUGACAAAAUGGAGUGGCACAGUGGGUGCAACAAUGGGCUCAAACAUAACAGUGGUUGUGAGGAUGGCACAGGACUGGGCACUGUUUUGUUCUGUUGUUCAUAGGGUUGCUAUGAGUUGGCACAAUGACAACAGUCUUUAAGGAAGCAGACUGCCACAUCUUUCUCCCAUGGAGUGGCUGGUGGGUUGGAACCGCUGACCUUUCAGUUAGCAGCUGAGUGCUUAACCACUGCAUCACCAGGGCUCCUUGAACCACAGACAGAGGGGUUAGAAUUUGCAACACGUAUUUUGUGGGGAACACAAUUCAAUCUGUAAUACGUUGUAUGGAAUGUAAGGAAUGGGCUGGAAAAUAGUGAAUAAUGAGGCUCCAAAAUGUAUUCCAGGGUCACAUUCAAAGGCCUUGUAGAAGGCGUUUGAAAUUUAUCCCAAAAGCAACAGGGAACCACUAAAUGGCUUUUGGUAGGAAAUUGAAAUGAUCACAUUUUCGCUUUUAGAAGAUCAUUCUGUCUAAUCUGUAGAAUGCACUGGAAGGAGGCAAGACUGGAGGCAGGGAACAUAAUUAGGAGGAUGUUGCAAUAAUCCAAGUAGGAAAUGAUGCCAGUUUGUAGCAAAAUUAUGGUAUGGCAUACUUAUGGAAUUCUUCUUUUCCCCAAUAUUAAUAGACUUUAUUUUUUAGAGCAGUUUUAGGUUUGCAAAUAAUUGCAGAGAUUCCUAUAUACCUCCUCUCUCCCCAUACACUUUGUAUCCUAGUAUUAAAAUUUUGCAUUCAAGUGAUACACUUACUACAAUUGAUGAAUCAGUAUUGGUACACUAUUAUAAACUAAGGUCCAUAGUUUAGGGACAUUAGGGUUCAUUCUUUGUGUUGUACAGUUGUAUGGGUUUUGCCAAAUGCAAAAAAAUCCACCAUCACCAUAUCAUACAGAAUAGUGUCAAUGCCUUAAAAAUUCACUGGGGUUCACCUAUUUAUCCCUUAUUUCUUUCCUCCUCCAGGGUCCCUGGAAACCACUUUUACUGUCUCUAUAGUUUUGAAGGAGCCCUGGUGGCACAGUGGUUAAGUGCUCAGCUGCUAACUGAAAGGUCGGUAGUUAGAACCCACCAGCCACUCCGAGGGAGAAAGAUGUGGCAGUCUGCUUCUGUGAAGAUUACAGCCUUGAAAAACCUUAUGGGGCAGUUCUACUCCAUCCACUGGGGUCACUAGGAGUCGGAAUCGACUCGAUGGCAAAUGACAACAGUUUUGCCUUAUUCCAGAAUGUUAUAUAGUUGGAAUCAUACAGUAUGUAGCCUUUUCAGAGUGGCUUCUGCUUGAAUUCCUUUGUUUCCUUUCCAGAUCAGUUCUGCAUUUUUCCCUUUGCUCCACUGGGCCUUCACCCUCCAGCUUCUGGUUAGGUUUGGCCAAGGAGAGAUAACUGUAGGUGGUCAGAAGAAAGGAGAAGCGUGAGGCUGAAAUGUUGAUUCCGCCCAGGCUCCCUCCUUGUUUGGUUGCCAUAGGCUGCAGUCCUCUAGCAAAGGCUACAGCUUGUGUCUGGCGGCUCUAUACAUACAGCCACCCUCUGUGGGUCUGCUAACCACUCUCUACUCUUCUCCCUUCUGGUCUAGGUGUGAUGGCUCUCAAGAUACUUCUUUAUCCCUUUCUGGUUUCCUUCAGCCACUGCUCAUUCCUUUGUAACUAUUCUUGCUAUUCAACUCACCCCAAGUUAUAUAGUUUAAAUGUGCCAUCUGUUUUCUGUUGGUACCCUGACUGAUAUACAAGAGGAUGGCGAGAAGUAAAUGGAUGCAAGGAAUUGUAAAAUGGCAUAAUUCAAAGACUCCUGUGCAACACAGAAUGCAGGAGAGGAAGCAGUGAUGAGAGCUCCUGUAGGUAGUACAUUUGAGAGGUGUUUUGAAAACAGACAAGGCAAGAGGCCUGGGUAAAUACAUGUGUGGUGCAAUGGAGAGGAGGAAUCAAACACGGCUCUGCCAUUGAAUAUAUGUAAAAGAUGUUUGGCAGCGUUGAUAAUGUUCUUUCUUGUAAUUUUUGGCCAUUUUGACUAUCAAUUUUGGGUAGGUCUGGAAAUGAUUAACUCUGGGAAUACAAAGCAAACUUGUUGCUGUCUGGUUGAUUCUGACUCAUAGCAACCCUACAGGACAGAGUAGAACUGCCCCGCAGGGUUUCCAAGGAGUGGCUAGUGGAUUCGAACUGCCAACCUUUUGGUUAGCAGCCAAGCUUUUAGUCACUGCGCCAGCAGGGCUCCAACUCUGGGAAGCCGACGGUAUUACUGUAAAGGCAUUUUAUAUUACAUAAUUUGUACAUAUUGACUGAAAAGCACUGAAUUCUAUUUAUGCCCACUCUUUCUUCCUUUCCCCCAGUAAUCCAUGCAUAAAACCCAUGAAUACCUUCCAACCCUCCCUACAAGGCUGCCAAGAGAUCUGGUCAGGCAACCCGUUCCAGUUGCCGCUGAGUUGAUUCCAACUCAUAGAGACCCUACAGGACAGAGUAUAACUGCCCCAUAGGUUUCCUAGGAGUGGCUGGUACAUUCAAACUGCUGACCUUUUGAUUAACAGCCUGAUGCUUAAACACUGCACUACCAGGGCUCUUGGUCAGGCAGAGGACCCUUUUAUAGGGUUCUCUUAUAUUCAACCACUGCAAUUAGGUGUGAUAUGUUAGCAUAUCAAGACACCAUAUAUAUGUACAGCAAAUUAGCUUCAUUUCUGCAGUUGGUGCUUUUUGUUUUUGGCUGACAUCAUGAGCUGGAGACAAAGCAGGCCAAGUAUCUUCCUCUGCCUUUUCUCCUUUAAACUCACAUCCAAAUCUUGGAUUGUACUUCUUUGAUGGCAAGAAACAGCAGUCCUAGGCGAAAGAGCCAAAAAAUUUGGAAGACAGCUACCUGGCCAACUGACUAGAAGAGAUCCAUAUUUAUACCUAUUCCCAAGAAAGGUGAUCCAACUGAAUGCGGAAAUUAUCGAACAGUAUCAUUAACAUCACACUCAAGUAAAUUUUGCUGAAGAUUAUUCAAAAGCAGCUGCAGCAGUAUAUUGACAAGGAACUGCCAGAAAUUCAAGCCAGAUUCAGAAGAGGACGGGGAAUGAGGGAUAUCAUUGCUGAUGUCAGAUGGAUCCUAGCUGAAAAGAAACUACCGGAAAGAUGUUUUCCUGUGUUUUAUUGACUAUGCAAAGGUAUUCAACUGUGUGGGCCGUAAUAAUAUAUGGAUAACAUAAUUUAUGUUAAGUUAUGGGAAUUUCAAAAUACUUAAUUGUGCUCAUGAGGAAUGUGUACAUAGAUCAAGAGGCAGUCAUUUGAAUAGAACAAGGGGAUACUGCGUGCUUUAAAGUCAGGAAAGGCGUGCGUCAGGGUUGUAUCCUUUCACCACACCUAUUCAAUCUGCAUGCUAAGCAAGUAAUACGAGAAGCUGGACCGUAUGAGGAAAAAUGGGGCAUCAGGAUUGGAGGAAGCCUCAUUAACAACAUGCGUUAUGGAGAUGACACAACCUUGUUUGCUGAAAGUGAAGCAGACUUGAAGCACUUAUUGAUGAAGAGCAAAGACCACAGCCUUCAGUGUGGAUCACACUUCAACGUAGACAAAAAUCCUUACAACUGGACCAAUAAGCCACAACAUGAUAAAUGGAGAAAAGAUUGAAGUUGUCAAGGAUUUCAUUUUACUUGGAUCCACAAUCAACACCCAUGGAAGCAGCAGUGAAGAAAUCAAAAGAUGCAUUGUAUUGGGCAAAUCAGCUGCAAAGGACCUCUUUAAAGUGUUGAAAACAAAGAUGCCACCUUGAAGACUAAUGUGCACCUGACCCAAGCCAUGGUAUUUUCAAUUACAUCAUGUGGAUUUGAGAGCUGUACAAUGAAUAAGAAAGACUGAAGAACUGACGCCUUUGAAUUGUAUUGGAGAAGAAUAUUGAAUAUACCAUGCACUGCCAUAAGAAUGAACAAAUCUGUCUUGGAGAAAGUACAACCAGAAUGCUCCUUAGAAGCAAGGAUGGCGAGACUUUGUCUUACAUACUUUGGACAUAUUGUCAGGAGGGAUCAGUCCCUGGAGAAGGACAUAAUGCUUAGUAAAGUACAGGGUCAGCAGAAAAGUGAAAGACCCUCAACGAGAUGGAUUGACACAGUGGCUGCAACAAUGGGCUCAAGCAUAAUAAGGACUGUGAGCAUGGUGCAGGACCAGGCAGUGUUGUUUUGUCAUACAUAGGGUUGCUCUGAGUCAGAACAAACUCCAUGGCACCUAGCAACAACAACAAUAAUCUUCCAUGUUUUACAGGUCUAUUAUUUUGUUAAACAAGUAAAAGAAACUUUCACUAAGAAAAAAAAAAAACCAAAAAACCAAACCCGUUGCCGUGGGGUUGAUUCUGACUCAUAAUGACACUACAGGACAAAGUAGAACUGCCCCAUAUGGUUUCCAAGGAGCCCCUGGUGGAUUCAAACUGCUGACCUCUUGGUUAGCAGCUAUAGCUCUUGACCAGUAUGCCACCAGGGUUUCUUUUUUUUUUUUUUUAAGGUUUCUCUGAACCCACCCACUGCUGUCGAGUCGAUUCCGACUCAUAGCGACCCUAUAGGACAAAGUAGAACUGCCCGAUACAGUUUCUAAGGAGUGCCUGGUGGAUUCGAAUUGCCGACCUCUUGGUUAGCAGCCAUAGCAGUUGACCACUACGCCACCAGGGUUUCCAAGAUUUCACUAGGGGAUGUAAAAUUACCUUUUUACUACUCCAUUCUCCUGUUACAGUAAAUAUAAAAGGUUAUUAAAAUUAUUUCUUCCUUGAGAACGUGAAGAUCUUGUUUCCUAUAGAUCCACAUUAUCUCUUAGCUCAGAAAUAAGCCCACGUAUUGACUUGAGCCAUAGAACUAUCAGGCAUAUUUUAAUAAAAGGGGAAUUCUCUGAUAUUUCACCACUGACGUUAGGUGUGAUAUGUUAGCAUAUCAAGACACAGCAAAUUAGCCUCAUUUCUGCAGCUGGUGCUUUUUGCUUGACUAUUACUAGGGAAGUUGACUUGCAAAUGCCAUUCUUCACUUUUGUGAGCUUGACCUGACCUGAGUCUUAUGCCUUGUAUUACGUAGUUUCUUACGGCUAUUAUAAUAAAUUACCACAAAGUAGGUGGUUUAAAAUGACUGAAAUUUAUUGCCUCACUGUUCUGGAGUCUAAAGUCCGAAUUCAGGGUGUCAGCAGGUUAUGUUCUCCCUAAUGGCUCUAGUGGAAGGUUCUUUCUUGUCUUUUUCAGCUUUCGGUAGACCCAGGUGUUCCUUGGCUUGCAGCUGUAGUUCACAUGAAAUUCUUUUCCACGUGUAUGUCUGUGUCUCUUCUCCUCUUUUAUAAGAACACCACUUAUAUUGGAUUAGUACCUACUGCAGUAGAACUGGUAACAUUUUCAAAGACCCUGUUUCCAAACAGGGUCAUAUUCACAGGUAACAGGGGUCAGGACUUCAAAUAUGUCCUGAUCUUCAGAUAUGUCUUCCAUAUCUUUUUGGGGGACACAAUUCAAUCAAAAACACCAUUCCAUAUCAUCUGAUUCAGCUGCUCUGAAAGGUUCAAAUAAAAAUCAGACAGAAAUAUAGAUUUUCUAUUUCCCAUUGCUCCAAUUUAUUAAUUAAAAAACAAAACAAAACCUGUUGCCACGGAAUUGAUUCCAACUCAUGGUGACUGUCUUAGUUACCUAAUGCUGCUGUAACAAAAAUACUGCAGGUGGAUGGCUUUAAUAAGAGAAAUUUAUUCUCUCACAGUCUAGGAGGCUAGAGGUCUGAAUUCAGGGUGCCAGCUCCAGGGGAAGGCUUUCUCUCUUUGUUGGCUCUGGGGGAAGGUCUUUGUCUUCAGUCUUCCCUGGUUGAGAAGCUUCUCAGAGUAGGGACCCCAGGUCCAAAGGAUGGUUCUGUUUCUGGUGCUGCUUUCUUGGUGGUAUGAGGUCCCUCUCUUCUCUGCUCAAUUCUCUGUUUUAUAUCGCAAUGAGAUUUGUUUAAAACACAGCCUAAUCUUGUAGGUUGAGUUCUGCCUCAUUAACAGAACUGCUUGCUGCUAAACCCAUUUCACUAACAUCAUAGAGGUUAGGAUUUACAACACAUAGGAUAAAUCACAUCAGAUGACAGAAUGGAGAACAAUUACACAAUACUGGGAAUCAUGACCUAGCCAAGUUGACAGAUAUUUUUGGGGGACACAAUUCAAUCCAUGACAGUGGCUCUAUAUAACAGAAUAGAACUGUCCCAUAGGGUUUCCAAGGAGUGGCUGGUGGGUUCAAACUGCUAAUCUUUUAGUUAGCAGCCCAACUCUUAACCACUGUGCCACAAGAAUGAACUUUAAUAAUAACUAGUGUUGUACUAAAUGUUGGGCACAGUAGUAGGCUCUACAAAUUCAUUGUCUUGUUUAAUCCUUACGAGUUCACAAUUCUGUGACUAUGAAAACCAUGACUCAUGGAGGUUACGUAAUCUGACUUAGGUUGCUCAGCUACCGGGUGGCAGAGACAGAAUUCAAAUUCAGCUCGGAAUGACUCUAUGUUAUAUGUGUAUGGAGCUCUGAGGACAUUUUCUGGACUCAGCUACUUAGGUUUUCUUAGACUAAGUUGAUAUGUAACUAUGAAUUGAUAUGUUUAGAGGAUUUGGGAUUGGGUUUUUGUGAGUAAUUUUCUUUAAUUAAUUGUUUUAACAAUGCUUUUGUUCUGGUUUGAUUGGUAAAAGGCUGCAUAAUCUAUUUGACACCAUUUUCCAGGCUUAUUUUUGACAAAGAGAUUCAGUCUAUUUCUGUAUUGACUGAAUUGAUUAUUUGUGACAACUUUCAAUGGUAACAUCAGAUUGUGGGUAGCAAGAAAAAAGGGGAAGAAAACUUCAGACAGGAGGGAAAGAAUCAUUGACUACAUAAAGAAAAAAUGCAUACAUGUAUUAUCUUUGAAAAAAGAUUAACAGUCCAUGCUACAUUUGCCACCAGAGGGAGUCAUAUGAAUACCAUAACAUAUUGACAAAGGAAAAGGAAACAUCAUUAAGUAUUUUCUCCCAUUGUCAUCAAUAUUUCAAGUAGCUUUCAAAAUUUGAUAGAUCUUGUGGAACUAUGGGAAAGGACUUAAACAUCUCACUGUAGGCCUAAAAACAGGAGAAACAUGAUGGUUAAAUUAGUCAUGCAGGGUUAAAGAUAAACAUCAAAACAAACUAAUGGGCACUUUGGAUUUUAGCAACAUGAACUUCAAGCUUCACUGAAACUGAAAAAUCAAGCUGUGAUCUCUUUUGUUCCCAAAAUCAUUAUCUACUAUUACCAUAAAAUUGUUCUAAAAAAUUUUUUGGAAUCAACAAUUUUAACAAUAUUUUGUUAAGGAGAUUUCACUCUACCACUAUAUUGCCUGUAUCAGGAUGACUGUGUUGAUCGUUAUUGUUAGUAAAUAAAACAAAAGUAUGUUGAAAAGAAACUCAAUAGGUAGAAAGAUUCAGUAUCCAAAGGUCAUUUUACUUAUCUCUACUCUCUAAAACCCAGGCCAAAAUUUUCUCAAUUGGUAAACAAGGGAAAAAUGGAUUAUUUAAUAACUGGUAGGUUUGUUAUCCAAUUUGUUUCAUGUCUAAUUUUAGAAUUGAUCAGUAAAUAGCGUUUACUGAAAUCCGCUAUUUACACAGUGAUAAAUUCUCCAUUUAAGUCAAGAAUCAGUCACAAUAAAUCUUGGAGAGAUGAGUUCUGAAGUGAUGUUUAUACCUUUAUACAGAUCAGAUGGUUUUCAAAAUAUACUGGCUGGACUUGUCCCAUCAGCAUUACCUGUAACCUGUUCAAAAUACAAAAUUUCAGGUCUCAGCUCUGACCUACUGAUACAGAAAGCCCAGGGGUGCAGCAGUCUGUUGUUUGACAAACCCUCCAGGUGAUUCUGAUGAAUGCAAAAUUUUGUGAACCCCACAAUAGAGAUAUUAGAUAGUCUCCUGAAACUAAGUCCAGCAACUUAUAUAAAUUGGAGGAUGUGCUUUCUGUGUUUUCUUACAAUACUUAUUUUCUUAUGAGUAAUUAAAAAAAUUUAAAUUAAAUGAACUAUCACUGAUGAAGUAAAAGAACCGAACAGAAGAUUUCAAAGGGCGGCUCGAGAAGACAAAGUAUUAUAAUGACAUGUGCAAAGAGCUGGAAAUGGGAAACCAGAAGGGAAGAACAUGCUUGGCGUUUCUCAAGCUGAAAGAACUGAAGAAAAAAUUCAAGCCUCGAGUUGCAAUAGUGAAGGAUUCCAUGGGGGAAAUAUUAAACGACGCAGGAAGCAUCAAAAGAAGAUGGAAGGAAUACACAGUCAUUAUACCAAAAAGAAUUAGUCAAUAUUCAACCAUUUCAAGAGGAGGCAUAUGAUCAGGAACCGAUGGUACUGAAGGAAGAAAUCCAAGCUGCUCUAAAGGCAUUGGCGAAAAACAAGGCUCCAGGAAUUGAUGGAAUAUCAAUUGAGAUGUUUCAACAAACGGAUGCAGCACUGGAGGUGCUCGCUCAUCUAUGCCAAGAAAUAUGGAAGACAGCUUCCUGGCCAACUGACUGGAAGAGAUCCAUAUUUAUGCCUAUUCUCGAGAAAGGUGAUCCAACCAAAUGUGGAAAUUAGAGAACGAUAUCAUUAAUAUCAUAUGCAAGCAAAAUUUUGCUGAAGAUCAUUCAAAAAUGGCUGCAGCAGUAUAUUGACAGGGAACUGCCAGAAAUUCAGACCAGUUUCAGAAGAGGAUGUAGAACCUGGGAUAUCACUGCUGAUGUCAGAUGGAUCCUGGCUGAAAGCAAAGAAUACCAGAAGGAUGUUUACCUGUGUUUUAUUGACUAUGCAAAGGCAUUUGACUGUGUGGAUCAUAACAAAUUAGGGAUAAUGUUGCAAAGAAUGGGAAUUGCACAACACUUAGUUGUGCUCAUGAGGAAUCUUUACAUAGAUCAAGAGGCAGUUGUUCGGACAGAACAAGGGGAUAGUGAUGGAUUUAAAGUCAGGAAAGUUGUGCGCCAGGGUUGUAUUCUUUCGCCAUACCUAUUCAGUCUGUAUGCUGAGCAAAUAAUCCGAGAAGCUGAACUAUAUGAAGAAGAAUGGAGCAUCAGGAUUGGUGGAAGACUCAUUCACAACCUGCGUUAUGCAGAUGAUACAACCUUGCUUGCUGAAAGUGAAGAGGACUUGAAGCACUUAUUAAUGAAGAUCAAAGACCACAGCCUUCAGUAUGGACUGCACCUCAACAUAAAGAAAACAAAAAUCCUCACAACUGGACCAAUGAGCAAUAUCAUGAUAAAUGGAGAAAAGAUUGAAGUUGCCAAGGAUUUCAUUUUACUUGGAUCCACAAUCAACAGCCAUGGAAGCAGCAGUCAAGAAAUCAAAAGAUGCAUUGCAUUGGGUAAAACUGCUGCAAAGGACCUCUUUAAAGUGUUGAAGAGCAAAGAUGUCACCUUGAAGGCUAAGAUGCGCCUGAUCUAAGCCAUGGUAUUUUCAAUCACCUCAUAUGCAUGUGAAAACUGGACAAUGAAUAAGGAAGACCGAAGAAGAUUUGAUGCCUUCGAAUUGUGGUGAUGGCAAAGAAUAUUGAACAUACUGUGGACUGCCAGAAGAACGAAUAAAUCUGUCUUGGAAGAAGUACAACCAGAAUGCUCCUUAGAAGCAAGGAUGAUGAGACUGCCUCUUACAUACUUUGGACAUGUUGUCAGGAGGGAUCAGUCUCUGGAGAAGGACAUAAUGCUUAGCAAAGUACAGGGUCAGCAGAAAAGAGGAAGACCCUCAACGAGGUGGAUUGACACAGUGGCUGCAACAAUGGGCUCAAGCAUAACGAUAGUAAGGAUGGUGCAGGACCGGGCAGUGUUUCGUUCUGUUGUGCAUAGGGUCGCUAUGAGUUGGAGCCAGCUCGAUGGCACCUAACAACAGCAACAACAUCAUUGAAAAGGUUGCUUAUCACAACUUUUUGUAAGGCUGAGUAGUCAUGGAUUGAAGCAAUUGAAUUUCAAAAUAUUAAACACGUGCAUUAGAGAAGGAAAAGUAAACAAUACAUACUUUCUGUCAAAUGAGAGAGAAAUUUCUGGUUUUCUCUGUCUUUCUCCACAAGCAUUGUUUGUGUCCAAAGAUCACAAUUUACUGUUUUUCCAUUUUUAACUUUGAAAGUAUAUGUUUUUUUAGGCAUUUUAGUAGAAGAACAUCUAAAAAGCUAACCUUACAAGGGUAAAUUAAGAUUUGCCUAGAAAACUAGAAAUAAGGGUCAUAUUAUGAGAUGACUUUAGCUUUAUACUUUAUGUACUUUUUUUGUAUUGUCUGAUUUUUUUUUUACAAGAUGCAUAAAUUACAAUAGAAAAUAAUUUCUAUAAGAUAAAAUAUUUUAUUUUUAGUUGCUUUUUAAAAACAAACCCAUUGAAACCAAAAAAUUUUUAAAGGUAGUUGCAAACUAUGUGACAUAAAAACAAAAUAAAACAAAAAAACCUGCUUUUUACUUUGGCUUACCCAUUAAGUAUUAAAUUGCUGAUACAGGUUUUUUUUUUUCUCAUAUUAGUUAUUUCAGAUAUAGUUAGUCAAGUGCAAAAUAAUCAAUUAGAUUUUAAGUGGAUGGUCCAAUCAAUGCUUUGUGAUUGACCUACAUGCAUGUAAUUGAUUCCUCUGAUCCCUUAGAGCUGAUCUUAAAGACUGACCUAGAUUAUUUUGUCACAGUUUAUUGCAUAUAGGGCACAAUGUAAUAAGCACACCAAGAAAAUACUGUUGCAAAGAUUUAGUUGAUGCCCAUCCAAUUAGAUUAGCACGUCAAACUAAUGUUGUUGUUGUUAGGAGCUGUCGAGUUGGUUUCAACUCACAGCAACCUUAUGUAUAAUAGAACCAAACAUUAUCCAGUUCUGUACCAUCCUUAAAAUAGUAGGUAUGUUUGAGCCCAUUGUUGUAGCCACUGUGUCAAUCCAUCUGAGGGACUUCUUCUUUUUCACUAACUCUCCACUUUACCAAGCAUGAUGUUCUUCUCCAGGGAUUGGUCCCUCCUGAUAGCAUGUCCAAAGUAAGCGAGACAAAGUUUCACCAUCAUUGCUUCUAAGGAGCAUUCUGGCUAUACUUCAUCCAAGACAGAUCUGUUUGUUUUUCUGGCAGUCCAUGGUAUAUUCAGUAUUCUUCACCAACGCCAUAAUUCAAAGGCAUCAAUUCUUCUUUGGUCUUCCUUUUUCAUUGUCUAGCUUUUGCAUGCAUAUGAGGUGAUUGAAAAUACCAUGACUUGGGUCAGGGGCACCUUAGUCAUCAAAGUGACGUCUCUGCUUUUUAACACUUUAGAGAGGUCUUUUGUAGCAGAUUUUCCCAGUGCAAUAGGUCGUUUAAUUUCUUGACUGUUGCUUAUACUUCCCUGUAAUUAUUUGCCUUUCUUUAUAUGUAAAAUAUAAUGUUAAGAUGAAUUAUUUCCCCUGUUUGCAAAGAAAAAUAAAGUUACCUACAGAUUUGUUGGAGAUGGAAUGGAUGGGUGAAUGCCUGAACUUGCUUGACCCUUCUGUAGAAAGCAGUGAGAGAUUUUGGUUUUUCUCCCUGUUCUUGAAAUGGCCAAAUUCACGUAAUAAAAACAAAGAAUGGGGCUGGGAAUUAUCAGU
Molecule: long non-coding RNA, 14506 nt
Organism: Loxodonta africana (African savanna elephant)
Lineage: Eukaryota; Metazoa; Chordata; Mammalia; Proboscidea; Elephantidae
Exons: 2
Source: RefSeq, a predicted model, not a curated record